GGCUGGUGCUGAGAACUGACACGGGGUGGCAGAAAUGGACUCUGGUAGUCAGACGAAAUCCAUAGAGCAUUGAGGAUGAUGACAUUUGAAAACUUUUGGCCACGUGGGCAUCGGAGAUGCAGGAUGACGUGGAGCAGAUCCGAGCUCUAAAAAAAGAGAAGCCAUAAUCCAACCGGUCACACCAAACCUGCUUUUGAAUGUACUGAGUGUUCACCUGGAAUCACAAAGGUUCCUAAAUACUUUACCCUUCUAGCCCACCAGUCACCAGAGGUGGUGGAAAAGGAAAGACGUGGGGGAAGUGGGCCUGUUUCGAAAGGUCCUUUGGAUCAGUUCCUGUCUGUGCUGUCAGCAGUUCAGUACACAGGUCAGCAGUGGCAUCUCGAUCCACUCACAAACACUACACUGGAGACACCAGCAGCAGUCCAGUGCGGGAGAGCUGGGAUAGGAAACAUGAAUGAGCAGUGGUAGCACUACCUCACAGACACAGCCAGGCUUCAGCCUCAGCAGGAGUUAGCAGGAGGGGCCAGGAGGAACACCAGGAGAAGUUCUCAGUUGUGCCUCUCUUACCAAAGUGAAGACCGGUGAAGAUAAGAGACCAGCAAGCUUUGUGCAGCCAGCCCUUUAAGCCAGCCAAGCUCACCCUCUGCCACUGUCCAUCAAGUCCUCUUUAUCCUCCCUCCAAACAUCGUGUGUCCUCCAUGGGUCUUGCCUCAGCAUGUGCGUCUUCCAAUCCGCCUGAUUCUGUGGAAGCAAGAAACUGCAGC
Mastomys coucha (southern multimammate mouse) is the source of this 764-nucleotide long non-coding RNA. RefSeq lists it as uncharacterized. The record is from RefSeq and is a predicted model, not a curated record. The transcript has 3 exons. NCBI's taxonomy places the organism in Eukaryota, Metazoa, Chordata, Mammalia, Rodentia, Muridae.